Nylanderia fulva is the source of this 511-nucleotide non-coding RNA. The record is from RefSeq and is a predicted model, not a curated record. Lineage: Eukaryota; Metazoa; Arthropoda; Insecta; Hymenoptera; Formicidae.
UCAGUUUACAGAGAAACAGCUGAUUUAGAUAGAUCGGGAAUAGAGAGACUCUAGUCUUUAAAAAAUUGUUUUCUUAUAACAAUUAUUAUAUCAAAUCAUGGAACAUCAGUUUCGCUGAUAUAAUAACAAACAAGGGUGAAGUAAUAAUUAAAAUAAUUAAUAAAGGAAGAAAAGAAAAAAGGAGCUGAUAAAUAUAAAAGAAGUUUAAAGCAUAUCAAGAAAUCGAAUAAAAUAAAAUAAGCAGACCUGACAUUUUGCCCAAUUGAGAACAGCCUGCCAUACAUCUUCUUCCAAACUGAGAUAAUCUGAUGAUAUUAAUUUUACCAAAGCAUCCUUUGGAAGAUUACAAAAUGCCGUUGUCUUUACAGUAUCCACAGUUUUCUCUGAUAAAAGCAAAGCAUUUCUCAAUAAAAGAUAAACAUGCAGUUUUCCCACCUGAAACAAAUAAUGUUUACCUACAAAUCAUUCUUACAAAUAUGACUCAAAAUUAAAGUUUAAAGUUUUAAAAGUU